Molecule: ribosomal RNA, 483 nt
Filed under: uncultured bacterium
Lineage: Bacteria
Description: partial 16S ribosomal RNA
Rfam family: Bacterial small subunit ribosomal RNA
Source: RNAcentral
UUGAACGCUGGCGGCAGGCCUAACACAUGCAAGUCGAGCGGUAACAGAAAGAAGCUUGCUUCUUUGCUGACGAGCGGCGGCCGGGUGAGUAAUGCUUGGGAACAUGCCUUGAGGUGGGGGACAACAGUUGGAAACGACUGCUAAUACCGCAUAAUGUCUACGGACCAAAGGGGGCUUCGGCUCUCGCCUUUAGAUUGGCCCAAGUGGGAUUAGCUAGUUGGUGAGGUAAUGGCUCACCAAGGCGACGAUCCCUAGCUGGUUUGAGAGGAUGAUCAGCCACACUGGGACUGAGACACGGCCCAGACUCCUACGGGAGGCAGCAGUGGGGAAUAUUGCACAAUGGGCGCAAGCCUGAUGCAGCCAUGCCGCGUGUGUGAAGAAGGCCUUCGGGUUGUAAAGCACUUUCAGUCAGGAGGAAAGGUUAGUAGUUAAUACCUGCUAGCUGUGACGUUACUGACAGAAGAAGCACCGGCUAACUCCGUG